RNAcentral lists this ribosomal RNA (1436 nucleotides) under unidentified rumen bacterium RC14. RNAcentral describes it as "bacterial SSU rRNA". It matches the Rfam family "Bacterial small subunit ribosomal RNA". The record is from RNAcentral. Lineage: Bacteria; Pseudomonadati; Bacteroidota; Bacteroidia; Bacteroidales; Bacteroidaceae.
AACACAUGCAAGUCGAGGGGCAUCAGGGAGAAAGCUUGCUUUCUUUGCUGGCGACCGGCGCACGGGUGAGUAACGCGUAUCCAACCUUCCCCCCAGUAGGGCAUAGCCCGGCGAAAGUCGGAUUAAUACCCUAUGUUCUUCGUAGAGGACAUCUGAAAUGAAGCAAAGGUUUACCGCUAGGGGAUGGGGAUGCGUCCGAUUAGGUUGUUGGCGGGGUAACGGCCCACCAAGCCCGCGAUCGGUAGGGGUUCUGAGAGGAAGGUCCCCCACACUGGUACUGAGACACGGACCAGACUCCUACGGGAGGCAGCAGUGAGGAAUAUUGGUCAAUGGGCGUAAGCUGAACCAGCCAAGUAGCGUGCAGGACGACGGCCCUAUGGGUUGUAAACUGCUUUUAUGCGGGGAUAAAGUGAGGUAUGUAUACCUUUUUGUAGGUACCGCAUGAAUAAGGACCGGCUAAUUCCGUGCCAGCAGCCGCGGUAAUACGGAAGGUCCGGGCGUUAUCCGGAUUUAUUGGGUUUAAAGGGAGCGCAGGCGGGGAGCUAAGCGUGACGUGAAAUGUAGCCGCUCAACGGCUGAACUGCGUCGCGAACUGGCUUUCUUGAGUGAGUACGACGUCAGCGGAAUUCGUGGUGUAGCGGUGAAAUGCUUAGAUAUCACGAAGAACCCCGAUUGCGAAGGCAGCUGACGAGUCCUUUACUGACGCUAAAGCUCGAAGGUGCGGGUAUCGAACAGGAUUAGAUACCCUGGUAGUCCGCACGGUAAACGAUGGAUGCCCGCUGUCGGCGAUACAAUGUCGGCGGCCAAGCGAAAGCGUUAAGCAUCCCACCUGGGGAGUACGCCGGCAACGGUGAAACUCAAGGGAAUUGACGGGGGCCCGCACAAGCGGAGGAACAUGUGGUUUAAUUCGAUGAUACGCGAGGAACCUUACCCGGGCUUGAACUGCAGGAGAAGGAUACAGAGAUGUUGACGCCUUCGGGGCUCCUGUGGAGGUGCUGCAUGGUUGUCGUCAGCUCGUGCCGUGAGGUGUCGGCUUAAGUGCCAUAACGAGCGCAACCCCUGCCUACAGUUGCCAUCAGGUCAUGCUGGGCACUCUGUGGGGACUGCCACCGCAAGGUGUGAGGAAGGUGGGGAUGACGUCAAAUCAGCACGGCCCUUACGUCCGGGGCUACACACGUGUUACAAUGGGUGGUACAGAGAGUCAGGUGCUGGCAACAUCACCUUAAUCUACAAAGCCAUCCUCAGUUCGGAUUGGGUCUGCAACCCGACCCCAUGAAGCUGGAUUCGCUAGUAAUCGCGCAUCAGCCAUGGCGCGGUGAAUACGUUCCCGGGCCUUGUACACACCGCCCGUCAAGCCAUGAAAGCCGGGGGCGCCUGAAGUCCGUGACCGCGAGGGUCGGCCUAGGGUGAAACCGGUGAUUGGGGCUAAGUCGUAA